Thunnus maccoyii (southern bluefin tuna) is the source of this 1365-nucleotide long non-coding RNA. RefSeq lists it as uncharacterized. The transcript has 2 exons. The record is from RefSeq and is a predicted model, not a curated record. NCBI's taxonomy places the organism in Eukaryota, Metazoa, Chordata, Actinopteri, Scombriformes, Scombridae.
ACCUUGCUGCAGAGCCUCUAGUCAAAUUCAGUGGUUUGCUUGCGUAUGCUCACAAAUAUGUUUCCCGAUUCCACACAACGCACGAAUCCUAAAACUAAUGCAGUUUGCUCACAGCUGGAAAAUCAUUAAACCAAAUUGUAGAUGGCAUUGAGGAACUGGGUAUUUGAAGCCCCUGAGUCUGCAGCGUUUGGAGCCAUGGAGUGCCCGCCAGCUACUGACGAUCCCUCUGCCCUCACUGGUGUCCCUGCUGGAGCUCCAACCUUGCCUCAGCCGCAAACUGUUUUUGCAGGUGCUCGGCUGCUGAAUCUGCAGCAGCUCGUUCCAGCAGUCCACACAGUGCUCCUGCGAGGGGGUGAAGGUCAAACUUUACAGCAUCCAGAUCCAAAAGGCCUCCUGCUAGCACGACUGGAAUUCACAUUUUUUAUCUUCUUGCCAUUGCCCAUCACAGUAUCAUGGUGAUCAGUAGUUCAGUAGUUAGUUGGGCAAAAGCCUUUUAGUAUCUUGGAGCAAUGAUCCCCAACAUUACCAGCAUUCCUGCAUGCUGUCAGAGGGGUCCACUGCCAAGAACACUGAUGUAAUUCAACCCUACAUAAACUACAAACUGGUCAGCUCAGACAUGCUGAAAGAUGAGUCUGGCAAGCUUGGUGACAAGAAUCUGGCAUGCAGACAUUUUUUUCCAUUUUUGGGUAGAAAAACAAACCCAUCGUAGUUCUAAUAGAAAGAAAUAUUUAAUCUCUUGUCCUUAUCUCACAAAAUCUUAAACAGUCAUUGUGAAUUCCCACUUGUCAGUGUUACUUUUGAUGUAGGAGUUCAGCUGCUCAUUGAGGCAAUUAAUUUAUUUGAAAUUAUUUUCCCAGUGGUAUGCACAAACAACUUGUAGGAAUCUGUCAACAACCUAAUCUGCAUUCACAAUCACCCAGCUGUUUCUGUGGGAUGGUACAGAGUUCAUUCAGAGUGUUAUUCUUCAUAGUUUCAUCUGUGAAAAGUUUCUGUUUUAUUUUUGACUCAGAUCUGGUUGAGGGUUGACAUUGUUCUGAUUAUGACAUUUUCAGGUCCCUGCACAUUGUUUUUGGCAGUUGUUUUUCAAAACCUUUUUGAGGUCCCUGUUCAGUCCACUGACCAUUACUUUGACCGUUACACUCAAGCAAAGGAUUGGUAAUGUCUACAGCUAACCUGAGAUGGUCCUAAUCUUACCUGCAAAAUGGAAAAUUGUAUCAUUCCACUGGGGAUCAUGUUUCCUUUUUCCUUAUUUAAAUAUGGUGUACCUCAAGGCUCCAUUUCAGGUCCACUUGCAUUCUCAUUGCAACUACUGUAUGUUUCUGUCCAAUACUGCACUUUUUUUGUUAAAAUCUGUCUAUAAACCCA